AGUGAACGCUGGCGGUAGGCCUAACACAUGCAAGUCGAACGGCAGCACAGUAAGAGCUUGCUCUUACGGGUGGCGAGUGGCGGACGGGUGAGGAAUACAUCGGAAUCUACUUUUUCGUGGGGGAUAACGUAGGGAAACUUACGCUAAUACCGCAUACGACCUACGGGUACAAGCAGUGGAUCUUCGGACCUUGCGCGAUUGAAUGAGCCGAUGUCGGAUUAGCUAGUUGGCGGGGUAAAGGCCCACCAAGGCGACGAUCCGUAGCUGGUCUGAGAGGAUGAUCAGCCACACUGGAACUGAGACACGGUCCAGACUCCUACGGGAGGCAGCAGUGGGGAAUAUUGGACAAUGGGCGCAAGCCUGAUCCAGCCAUACCGCGUGGGUGAAGAAGGCCUUCGGGUUGUAAAGCCCUUUUGUUGGGAAAGAAAAGCAGCAGGUUAAUACCCCGCUGUUCUGACGGUACCCAAAGAAUAAGCACCGGCUAACUUCGUG
RNAcentral lists this ribosomal RNA (492 nucleotides) under uncultured bacterium. Its description in RNAcentral is "partial 16S ribosomal RNA". It matches the Rfam family "Bacterial small subunit ribosomal RNA", at positions 29 to 507 of the family's 1533-position model. The record is from RNAcentral.